Molecule: ribosomal RNA, 271 nt
Filed under: uncultured archaeon
Lineage: Archaea
Description: partial 16S ribosomal RNA
Rfam family: Archaeal small subunit ribosomal RNA
Source: RNAcentral
CGGCGUCACGAGUGGCAAUCACGUUUAUUGGGUCUAAAGAGUUCGUAGCCGGUUUAGAAAAUCUUUUGUGAAAUUGUCAGGCUUAACUUGACAACGUGCAGAAGACACUACUAAACUAGAGACCGGGAGGGGUCAGAAGUAUUUCAGGGGGAGCGGUAAAAUGUUAUAAUCCCUGAAGGACUACCAAUGGCGAAGGCAUCUGACCAGAACGGAUCUGACGGUGAGGAACGAAGGCUAGGGGAGCGAACCGGAUUAGAUACCCGAGUAGUCC